Molecule: long non-coding RNA, 331 nt
Filed under: Anser brachyrhynchus (Pink-footed goose)
Lineage: Eukaryota; Metazoa; Chordata; Aves; Anseriformes; Anatidae
Description: lncRNA (ENSABRG00000022233.1)
Source: RNAcentral
UGGGGAAAAGAUUCAGAGUUUUCUUCUUUAGGCUAUUUUUUUUAAAUUGCAAACCAAAUUUCCUUUUCUUGCUUUCUGAAAGGUAGAUAGAAACCUCUGAUACCAAAAGGAAAAUCAGCCUGACCCAUGAUGGCAUGUUUCAUCUUUCUGUGAGGGAGCAGAGAGGCAGGGGAGUUCCCAGCCCUGACCAGGAGGUGCGCUUCUGACUCAGGAAUGUGAAGGACAGCAACUGUUGGUACCCCCGGGUGCUCUCUGGACUGAUGUAAGGCAGUGCCAAGGGGGCAGCACAGGGGGAAGGCCGUUUAUUCUUCUUAAACACCUGAAGUACCCA